CACCGAGGCGCCACGGCGCAUGCGCGGCUCCCUUUUAUGAAUGGGGGGCUGGAGAGAGACUGGCUGCGAGCCGCGGAGGACGGCCAGCAGCCCUAAUGCUGUGAACACCCCCAGCUGCUGCAGCUCUGCCUGGUGGACGGUGCAGUAACGAGGAACCUUAACAACAGGAAGAAAAGGAGGAUCAAAGCCCGGGGAGGAUCCUUCAGCUGUUUGCUUUUCCUUUAUGCAGAAACUUUACCACGGCUGCCCUAAAAACCCCACCAAACACAGCUAAGAACCCCUCCUCAGGAAAGCAAAAUGACUUCCUACAGCCUAAAAUAAGGUGUUGGAUAUCUGCUGGCAUUUCUUCCCCUCUGCUGCAGCUGCCUUGGCAGAAGAAGAGCCUGGAGUGAUGGGGCUGUUGCGUGGCACAGUUUUGUUUUUCAGCACACCCGGUGCCUCGUGCUCCCCGGCUCCGAGGAUCAGCCCCGCUGCCGGCAUCAGCUGCAGCUCAUCGCUCACCCCGAACCCCGUCUGCCCGUUGUUCACCUUACAGCCACGUCAGUCCUCGCAGCCCCGACGUCCCUUCCCUGUGGCAGCGGAGCGGCGGGUCGCGCCGUGGCCGUGCUGGCGAUUAGCGAGCAGCCAAGGCUGAGAGCUCUGUCCCUGAAUGCGCAUUGUUCUCGCAGCUUCCAGCACCAGAGGGGAGAAUAGUUGAACUGUUUACAAUAUUGUUUCAUAGACUGCUAAAAAGUGGCUGUCUGUUUUUCAGAAGUGCAAUGAAACAUUUAUGAGUGUGGGAUUUCCUCCAGCCCCGCUGAGGUGCCAUCGCUGCCCAAUGCCCCGCGCUGCUGGCCGAGGGGCAGUGGGAUGAGCACAGCCACUGCUCCCAGCCGUUCCCUGGGGGGCUGUGCCAGGUGCCUGGUUUGCAGGCACAGAGCUGCGGCACCUGGCAGGACUGCUUCAGAGCUACAAAGCGCUCUUGCUGCCUCUACCUGUCAUAAUUCAUGUGAGCUGUCUUCCACGUGUGCAGGGAGGGCAGUGAGCCGCUGGCACUGCAGCCCACAGCUGUGCUGCCCCAUCCCCAGAGGUGCCCAAAACCAUGGAUGGGCCCUGGUCAGCCUGAGCUGGGGGGCAGCCAGCCCAUGGUGGGGGUGGUUGGAGGUGCUGCGAGGGCCCUUCCAACCUGGGAUGCAUCUGGAUGAUGCCUUCCAACCCAGGCCAUUCUAUGAUUCUGUCCUCUGCCUCCAUACGUUUACAGCUCCGUGUUGGUUAUUUCCAGGACCACAGGCUGUUCCUCACGUGGGAUUUGCAGCAGGUCCUUCCAAAAAGUGACAUGUUUUUUUCCCAUGAAAAGACUUCAACACAAGAUCGCUCUGUAGCUCAUUAAGGUCAUUACAAAUGUUUAUUUUUAGGCAGAUGGAUGUUCUAACCAGAAUUGUAAUCUGGUUGCAGCUAAGUGCAGGAACAAGUCAGAAUUUGGGUUUUACUGUAAUGGCUAUGAAUGUUUCACUGUGUCUUCAGCAUAAGGGAUCCCAUUGUGCAUAUUUCGGAUGUCUGCAGCUUUUACGUGGUUUCGUCUACAUUUCUCAGGAUUUAAUAUUUGAAGUUCCUUCUAGGGAUGUAUUAGAGGAAAAACUGGAUUUGAACUCCAGUCAGAAAGUUUUCACAUAUUCAGAAUUACACAGUGCUUAUAAAAGCAGUUCGCUUCUGUGGGGUAUGGUUAAUCCAUCUAUCUCCUGGCAUGGGGCACUCAUCCCAUUCCGCAGGGCUGGGACGGGAGCGGAGCCGUGGUUAGCGUCCUCCCAGCCACCCGGGGCCGUCCAGCCUAAGCCCUUCCUUCCUGCCCUGAGUGGAAUUAUCAUUAACUCGUAACUUGUUUUCAAGAAGAACUUUUUUUUUUUGUAGGCUGUGGAGUUCUUCCAAGAAUUUUUCAAUUUCUACAGAUGAAAAUACAGUCUGAACCAGAUGCCAGCUGAAACGCGCUCGCUUCAUACCACCUCGCCAAGGCAGCGCGCCAUGGGCUCAGCAAUAUGACCUUUAAAAUAGCCUUUCUAGAACACACUGCUAAGAGCACUUUCGAAAAAGCCACAAUUGCAGCUACUCUUAUUACUCAUAAUGUCCUUGAUGGAGAGAAUACUUAAGGAACUUCAGCUUCAGCGACCCGGUAGAGCCAGCUCUGUGCAGCGCAGGCUUCCUUUGUGGGAUUGCAGAUUGGAGACCACGAUGAGAGUGUUGAUGAUAAUGAACAUUUCCUAAAUCAUUACUUGUAUAAGAGUAAAACCAAAUAAAAGCAGUGAAGCCUUUGCUUCGCCUUGCCCAUGUGAAUGAAUGGCUCUGUCAUUCAGCCAUUUGUUUCCAGAAGCGGCUCUGUACCUCCGUGCUUUCUCCAUGUGUUUACGAAACUAACAAACAUUAUACACACAGUCAUGCAAAAUGCAUUCAGCGUAUUUCAAAUCAAUGAAUAUUUUGAGUCAUCAGCCUAAAUGCUUUGUAGAUGCAUAACUACACACUACUUUCUGGGAUUUUUGAAGUACUCCGAGUUGUGCUGAGCUACCACUUCUUUAAAGCUGUCACAUCCAAUUCCUUGGGGUUUUUUUUGCAUGUGCCAGGAAAUUUGGACUCUUAUAUGGCCAUCACUGCCAUGCACUGCAGCACUGUGUGGCACUGCAUGGUCCUGGUGGGCACAGGGAGCAGAAUAAGAUGAAAUGCAGUUUGCUUUGAUCAGUUCAGGAGAGAUUUCACACCAGCAGUGAUGCGGUACUUUAGAGUUGGCUGAGGGGAGUUUUCCUAUCAUUUCUGAUCUUUCUGUCCUUAAACUGAUUUCACUAAAUAUGUGACAUUUUGAGGAACGUGCCCUGUGUCUUUAACUUCUUUCAAGCUAGACAGGGUGGAAACAAGAUAAGUUUGCCUUAAAAGCCUUUGUUCUCGCUCACUUCUCCUUUGGUGAUCCAACACAUUGGUAUUCAGAUUUGGCACCUCACAGGGUCCUGGUUCUGCCAGAGCUCCUGGUUCUGACUGCCAGCAGCAGGAU
Lagopus muta (rock ptarmigan) is the source of this 3013-nucleotide long non-coding RNA. RefSeq lists it as uncharacterized. NCBI's taxonomy places the organism in Eukaryota, Metazoa, Chordata, Aves, Galliformes, Phasianidae. The transcript is spliced from 4 exons. The record is from RefSeq and is a predicted model, not a curated record.